CGGCGAGCGAACGGGGAGGAGCCCAGAGCCUGAAUCAGUGUGUGUGUUAGUGGAAGCGUCUGGAAAGGCGCGCGAUACAGGGUGACAGCCCCGUACACAAAAAUGCACAUGCUGUGAGCUCGAUGAGUAGGGCGGGACACGUGGUAUCCUGUCUGAAUAUGGGGGGACCAUCCUCCAAGGCUAAAUACUCCUGACUGACCGAUAGUGAACCAGUACCGUGAGGGAAAGGCGAAAAGAACCCCGGCGAGGGGAGUGAAAAAGAACCUGAAACCGUGUACGUACAAGCAGUGGGAGCACAGAGCAAUCUGUGUGACUGCGUACCUUUUGUAUAAUGGGUCAGCGACUUAUAUUCUGUAGCAAGGUUAACCGAAUAGGGGAGCCGAAGGGAAACCGAGUCUUAACUGGGCGUUAAGUUGCAGGGUAUAGACCCGAAACCCGGUGAUCUAGCCAUGGGCAGGUUGAAGGUUGGGUAACACUAACUGGAGGACCGAACCGACUAAUGUUGAAAAAUUAGCGGAUGACUUGUGGCUGGGGGUGAAAGGCCAAUCAAACCGGGAGAUAGCUGGUUCUCCCCGAAAGCUAUUUAGGUAGCGCCUCGUGAAUUCAUCUCCGGGGGUAGAGCACUGUUUCGGCAAGGGGGUCAUCCCGACUUACCAACCCGAUGCAAACUGCGAAUACCGGAGAAUGUUAUCACGGGAGACACACGGCGGGUGCUAACGUCCGUCGUGAAGAGGGAAACAACCCAGACCGCCAGCUAAGGUCCCAAAGUCAUGGUUAAGUGGGAAACGAUGUGGGAAGGCCCAGACAGCCAGGAUGUUGGCUUAGAAGCAGCCAUCAUUUAAAGAAAGCGUAAUAGCUCACUGGUCGAGUCGGCCUGCGCGGAAGAUGUAACGGGGCUAAACCAUG
This 906-nucleotide ribosomal RNA is filed under the name Escherichia coli. Its description in RNAcentral is "partial 23S ribosomal RNA". It matches the Rfam family "Bacterial large subunit ribosomal RNA", at positions 247 to 1191 of the family's 2925-position model. Lineage: Bacteria; Pseudomonadati; Pseudomonadota; Gammaproteobacteria; Enterobacterales; Enterobacteriaceae. The record is from RNAcentral.